GUUUUAUAAAGAAAGGUGGAGGGAUCAGGCCCCAAGAUACCUUAGCAACCAGUUUAACUAAAUUAAACAAGGUGCUAAUUCCUGCUUCAAAAUUUUUUGAAGAUAGAUAAAAU
RNAcentral lists this non-coding RNA (113 nucleotides) under Fidelibacterota (SAR406 cluster). RNAcentral describes it as "Candidatus Marinimicrobia SAM-I sequence". It matches the Rfam family "SAM riboswitch aptamer (S box leader)". Rfam says of the family: The SAM riboswitch is found upstream of a number of genes which code for proteins involved in methionine or cysteine biosynthesis in Gram-positive bacteria. The SAM riboswitch acts at the level of transcription termination control. Lineage: Bacteria; Pseudomonadati. The record is from RNAcentral.